GCGACCUGAACUCAGUCGAGAU
This 22-nucleotide ribosomal RNA is filed under the name Tylenchulus semipenetrans. Its description in RNAcentral is "partial 28S ribosomal RNA". Lineage: Eukaryota; Metazoa; Nematoda; Chromadorea; Rhabditida; Tylenchulidae. The record is from RNAcentral. RNAcentral also lists the same sequence under 3 other names.